This 2238-nucleotide long non-coding RNA is filed under the name Zea mays. Its description in RNAcentral is "long non-coding RNA (ZMAY_LNC004254)". Lineage: Eukaryota; Viridiplantae; Streptophyta; Magnoliopsida; Poales; Poaceae. The record is from RNAcentral.
CCUUCUCCCUCCAUUGUUGCAGCCACCAAAACCCUAGCCGCCCCCCCCCCCAAUCCCCUCCUCCCUAGGUGCUACUCCGUGCCGCUCGGAUCAUCGUCUUUUGGUGCGAAUCUCCAAUCGUUUUGGUGGAAGGAAGAAGGGAGGAAGGAAAAGGGGAGAACCCAAGGUGAUUUUUCUUUUGUGUUCAUCCCUUGUUCAUUUGCGCUGCGAUUCAAUUGAUUAGAUGUUGCGUUUGCGAUUAGAUGGGGGGGGCUGUCCAGAAUUUUGCGUGGUGGAUGAACAGCGGUAGUUCCAGCAGUUUUUAGUUUUUUUUCGUGAAGAUUUAAUGGGGAUCAAUUUGGGAAUCUUGUAGAACUUUGUUUUAUCUUUCCAACGAGUAUUUAUGCGCUCAAUUUGGAGUUAUAAAUUAAAAGUUAUCAUCGUUUGAAUCCGGGUAUGUGGCUGUCCAGAAAACAGAUUUUUCAGAGUGAUGAACAGCAGCAGUGUUAGCAGUUUCUGGGGAUUUUUCGGGAGCAAUUAGUGUUAAUCAGUAUGAGAAUCUUGUAGCACUUUGUUUUAUCUUUCCAACGAGUAUUUAUGCGCUCAAUUUGGAGUUAUAAAUUAAAAGUUAUCAUCGUUUGAAUCCGGGUAUGUGGCUGUCCAGAAAACAGAUUUUUCAGAGUGAUGAACAGCAGCAGUGUUAGCAGUUUCUGGGGAUGUUUCGGGAGUAAUUAGUGUUAAUCAGUAUGAGAAUCAUGUAGGGCUUUUUCUUAUCUUUCCAACAAGUACUUAUGCGCUCAAAUCGGAAUUAUAUUUUAAAAGUUAUCGCUGUUUGAAUCCGCGUAUGUCGCUGCUCAAAUAAAAAAAAACAGAUUGCAGGGUUUAUUUUGAGGACAGUUUAGAGGUAAGUAGAUGUUAGAAUUCAAUCAUGAGUUGUAUACAAAACUUGUGGGGAAUUUUAUGUAGUUGUCUCUGAAGUUUUUGUUUAUCAUCACUGCUGUCCUAAAUUUUAAGUUAUGGAAUUGUUAAGCAGCGCCGCUGCAGUUUGGUUAGUGAGGGGAGAGUUGUUACCGCGGCGGGGUUUGAAAUUGCGCGUAGGUGCGGUGUUGUCUUUGAGUUUUUUUUCAUGAGAAUUUGGUGCACUAAGUUGGGUGUCAAAAACAGGUGGUGGACUUCCGGAUCGUUCUUAGGGAUUUUGCCCGAACUUCGGUAGAGGCAAGUAAAACGGUGAUGGUUAUUUCGUCUUUUGAUUGAAGAGGCUCAUACUUGAUUAUGUUUGUGCUAUUUGUGUUCGUAUCCAUAUUCCUAAUUGGGUACCAUCGUUUGAAAUUAUUCAUGCUUUAUUGAUUAUACAUGUGGAGGGUGUGGUUUGAUCAUGUUACCCAUGUGGUUAUUGAUGUGAAAUGGGUGGAAGUAUAUGUCUAGCACAUUUUAUUUGGGAAGAACUCAUGUUGUUGACAUGCAUAAUGCAUUCAUCAUCCAUUGCAUUGAAGUUUUCGUCGCGAUCUUAUGGUCCGACCGUACCGGUACAAUGAGCAUCAUAUGUUUCCCGAGAAGGGGUAUGAUGCAGCUUCAUAUCCUUAGAGGUAUGAAGGCAGAAGUCAUGUUGCAUCUGUAGCCAUGUGCAUUCAUGGGUGAAGUGUGGAACCUAUUUUGGUGAUGUGGAUAAGGUGGAUCUUUACUUUGUAAUUCAUCUUGGCAUUGAGUAAUUGAUUACUUGCUUACUUGCUGCAAAUUAAUAUUUAAGGAAGAAGUUGGGAACCAUGUGGUUGCUUAUGCAUGGUUGGCCUGCAUUGUCCAACUGUUGUUUGUUCUUUUAACUUGCUGAGAUGUGUCAUCUCACUCUUGCAUUGUCUGAUGCAGGCACCUGAUCUUUGCUUUGGGAAAGAAGGGAUGUAGCAGCACGGCCACCACACUUUUAAAUAAAGGAAUAACUGUUUAUUAAUGAUGUUAAACAGGAAGGGUCAAGUCUAGGGAAUUACUACAUUCUAAUCUUUCAUGGUAGUUGAACUGUUUAGUUUGGUGGGCUGAGAUGUCUAUCUUUUGUCUGGUCAUGAAUGUUCUUUUCUACCGUUGCAUUUUGAUUAUACUAUGGCAAUUAUCUUUCUUUUAUAUCCUGUAUAAACUAUAUGCUUCCCUUGUUAUGCUACUUUCAAGGGAGGUGCUGCCGGAUUUUGCAGUACUUUAUUUCUCUAUGUGUUGCAUGAGUCUUGUAGAAAGGUUUUUUUUGGUAUCAUCCAUUGUGUGGGAUCAGUGGGG